CCUACGGGAGGCUGCAGUGAGGAAUAUUGGUCAAUGGGCGCAAGCCUGAUCCAGCCAAGUCGCGUGAGGGAUGACGGUCCUAUGGAUUGUAAACCUCUUUUGUCGGGGAGCAAGGCCCGCCACGUGUGGCGGGAAGGAGAGUACCCGAAGAAAAAGCAUCGGCUAACUCCGUGCCAGCAGCCGCGGUAAUACGGAGGAUGCGAGCGUUAUCCGGAUUUAUUGGGUUUAAAGGGUGCGUAGGCGGAAGGUUAAGUCAGCGGUAAAAUGUCGGUGCUCAACACCGGCCUGCCGUUGAAACUGGUCUUCUUGAGUGAGCGAGAAGUAUGCGGAAUGCGUGGUGUAGCGGUGAAAUGCAUAGAUAUCACGCAGAACUCCGAUUGCGAAGGCAGCAUACCGGCGCUCAACUGACGCUGAGGCACGAAAGCGUGGGGAUCGAACAGGAUUAGAUACCCUAGUAGUC
This 460-nucleotide ribosomal RNA is filed under the name uncultured bacterium. RNAcentral describes it as "partial 16S ribosomal RNA". It matches the Rfam family "Bacterial small subunit ribosomal RNA", at positions 338 to 795 of the family's 1533-position model. The record is from RNAcentral.